GACGAACGCUGGCGGCGUGCCUAAUACAUGCAAGUAGAACGCUGAAGAGAGGAGCUUGCUCUUCUUGGAUGAGUUGCGAACGGGUGGGUAACGCGUAGGUAACCUGCCUUGUAGCGGGGGAUAACUAUUGGAAACGAUAGCUAAUACCGCAUAACAAUGGAUGACACAUGUCAUUUAUUUGAAAGGGGCAAUUGUUCCACUACAAGAUGGACCUGCGUUGUAUUAGCUAGUAGGUGAGGUAAUGGCUCACCUAGGCGACGAUACAUAGCCGACCUGAGAGGGUGAUCGGCCACACUGGGACUGAGACACGGCCCAGACUCCUACGGGAGGCAGCAGUAGGGAAUCUUCGGCAAUGGGGGCAACCCUGACCGAGCAACGCCGCGUGAGUGAAGAAGGUUUUCGGAUCGUAAAGCUCUGUUGUAAGUCAAGAACGGGUGUGAGAGUGGAAAGUUCACACUGUGACGGUAGCUUACCAGAAAGGGACGGCUAACUACGUG
Molecule: ribosomal RNA, 497 nt
Filed under: uncultured bacterium
Lineage: Bacteria
Description: partial 16S ribosomal RNA
Rfam family: Bacterial small subunit ribosomal RNA
Source: RNAcentral